RNAcentral lists this ribosomal RNA (560 nucleotides) under uncultured bacterium. RNAcentral's name for it is "bacterial SSU rRNA". It matches the Rfam family "Bacterial small subunit ribosomal RNA", at positions 338 to 916 of the family's 1533-position model. The record is from RNAcentral.
CCUACGGGAGGCAGCAGUGGGGAAUAUUGGACAAUGGGGGCAACCCUGAUCCAGCAAUGCCGCGUGUGUGAAGAAGGUCUUCGGAUUGUAAAGCACUUUCGACGGGGACGAUGAUGACGGUACCCGUAGAAGAAGCCCCGGCUAACUUCGUGCCAGCAGCCGCGGUAAUACGAAGGGGGCUAGCGUUGCUCGGAAUGACUGGGCGUAAAGGGUGCGUAGGCGGCGAGAUAAGUCAGGCGCGAAAUUCCUGGGCUCAACCUGGGGACUGCGUUUGAGACUGUUUGGCUAGAGGAUGGAAGAGGCUCGUGGAAUUCCCAGUGUAGAGGUGAAAUUCGUAGAUAUUGGGAAGAACACCGGUGGCGAAGGCGGCGAGCUGGUCCAUUACUGACGCUGAGGCACGAUAGCGUGGGGAGCAAACAGGAUUAGAUACCCUGGUAGUCCACGCCGUAAACGAUGUGUGCUGGAUGUUGGGGUUCAUAGAACCUCAGUGCCGUAGCUAACGCGAUAAGCACACCGCCUGGGGAGUACGGCCGCAAGGUUGAACUUAAAUGAAUUGACGG